Molecule: ribosomal RNA, 497 nt
Filed under: uncultured bacterium
Lineage: Bacteria
Description: partial 16S ribosomal RNA
Rfam family: Bacterial small subunit ribosomal RNA
Source: RNAcentral
GAUGAACGCUGGCGGCGUGCCUAAUACAUGCAAGUCGAGCGAACGGACGAGAAGCUUGCUUCUCUGAUGUUAGCGGCGGACGGGUGAGUAACACGUGGAUAACCUACCUAUAAGACUGGGAUAACUUCGGGAAACCGGAGCUAAUACCGGAUAAUAUUUUGAACCGCAUGGUUCAAAAGUGAAAGACGGUCUUGCUGUCACUUAUAGAUGGAUCCGCGCUGCAUUAGCUAGUUGGUAAGGUAACGGCUUACCAAGGCAACGAUGCAUAGCCGACCUGAGAGGGUGAUCGGCCACACUGGAACUGAGACGCGGUCCAGACUCCUACGGGAGGCAGCAGUAGGGAAUCUUCCGCAAUUGGCGAAAGCCUGACGGAGCAACGCCGCGUGAGUGAUGAAGGUCUUCGGAUCGUAAAACUCUGUUAUUAGGGAAGAACAUAUGUGUAAGUACCUGUGCACAUCUUGACGGUACCUAAUCAGAAAGCCACGGCUAACUACGUG